UACGUAGGGGGCGAGCGUUAUCCGGAAUUACUGGGCGUAAAGCGCACGCAGGCGGUUCGCCAAGUUUGGAGUGACAGUUGUCGGCUCAACCGACAAAGGACUUCAAAAACUGGUGAACUUGAGGACGAGAGAGGAACAUGGAACUCCAGGUGUAGUAGUGAAAUGCGUAGAUAUCUGGAAGAACACCAAUGGCGAAGGCAAUGUUCUGGCUCGUUUCGGACGCUCAGGUGCGAAAGCCAGGGGAGCGAACGGG
RNAcentral lists this ribosomal RNA (253 nucleotides) under uncultured bacterium. Its description in RNAcentral is "partial 16S ribosomal RNA". It matches the Rfam family "Bacterial small subunit ribosomal RNA", at positions 524 to 776 of the family's 1533-position model. The record is from RNAcentral.